UCCUCAAUUUUUUCGAAAUAUAAAUAAUUAGGGUUUAUAAGUUAAUCGAUUAUUGGAUUGAAAUGGAAUGAAUUAAUCAUGAAUCGAUUUGGGGUUAUGGGAAAUUGAAGAUUAUUUUUACCUGACAAAGAUCUAAACCUGAGGCCCAUGAAACUCUCUUCGAUUUUUGCAAUCCACGCAUGUUUACACAAACAACAAAAAAAACGAUACAGUAACAAAAAAAACGAACGUUNNN
RNAcentral lists this long non-coding RNA (235 nucleotides) under Trifolium pratense (red clover). RNAcentral describes it as "long non-coding RNA (TPRA_LNC008224)". Lineage: Eukaryota; Viridiplantae; Streptophyta; Magnoliopsida; Fabales; Fabaceae. The record is from RNAcentral.